This is an RNA transcript of Bactrocera dorsalis (oriental fruit fly), 960 nucleotides long. RefSeq lists it as uncharacterized. The record is from RefSeq and is a predicted model, not a curated record. The transcript has 3 exons. NCBI's taxonomy places the organism in Eukaryota, Metazoa, Arthropoda, Insecta, Diptera, Tephritidae.
UUGAAGCAACCCUACCAUUUGGUGAGUGGUGAGUUUUUAUUAGCUGCUGCUGUUUGUCUGUGCCAGAAAUAAUUAAAUAAAAUAUUUAUAAAAAACGUUUAAAAUACAUUAAAUCAACAUAUUACCCGAAAAAAUCUGAAAUAUUAGGUGGCUUUUAAAUAUCGGGGAAACAGGUUACAGUUAUAUCGUGGGAUUACCAAAUUCUGCUAUAUUAAUAUACAAUUUUGAAGGUUUACAUCGCCUAAAUUUAUGAACAAGAAAUUGUCAAAAUCUAGGUAAGUACAUAAACGUCGUCAGGCAUGUCUCCGUAAGUGCCAUUACCUCCAUGGCUUAUUUACAAUAUAUUUAUUUUGUGAUAUUUCUAUGACAGAAAAUACAUUGAAGAACCCGAAAUAAAACUUUUUUGUUUUCUUAAUAUUUGUCCUUGUUAUAUUUUACUUAAUAUCAAUUUUAAUUAUUUUAUAAGUGAGGAUUUUUUUACAAAUACAAUAAUUUUAUACCAUGCUGUGGUUUACCCAAUAUUUAUUCUGUUCAUUGUAAUAACAAUUACUUCUCCAGUUAAUAAGAACGUCUUCCUGAAAUUUUUUGAUUAAGAGUUAUAUACAUACAUACGUAUAAAUGGCAAAUGUUAUGCUGUUAUUAAUAUUAAUGAUAUUUAUAUAGAAAAAUUUAAUAUUAAUCCCUUGACGUAUUUCCACGAGCCUGGCUCGUGGUACAACUUCUGUGCCUAACAUGAUUAUCACGAGCCUGGCUCGUGGUGUGUAGAAGUGUACAUUUGAUGAAGAGAAUUGAAAUUUUCCCGUUAUUUUCGGCAAAUAAUAUAAACAAAAAACAUUGCUUCAGUUGAGUGCAUUAUCUACUGCAGGUCAGUUUUAUAAUGAUCAUAUUAAAUCGUAGUAUUUUAUUUUAUGUAAAUUUGUAAAACAAGUGUUGCGACAGUUCGUAAGCAUCAAAACUGAU